UGGGGAAUAUUGGACAAUGGGCGCAAGCCUGAUCCAGCCAUGCCGCGUGAGUGACGAAGGUCUUCGGAUUGUAAAGCUCUUUUAGCAGGGAAGAUAAUGACGGUACCUGCAGAAUAAGCCCCGGCUAACUUCGUGCCAGCAGCCGCGGUAAUACGAAGGGGGCUAGCGUUGUUCGGAAUUACUGGGCGUAAAGCGCACGUAGGCGGAUUGAUAAGUUAGAGGUGAAAUCCCGGGGCUCAACCUCGGAACUGCCUUCAAAACUGGCGACCUGGACUCAAGUAGAGGCAAGUGGAAUUGCGAGUGUAGAGGUGAAAUUCGUAGAUAUUCGCAGGAACACCAGUGGCGAAGGCGACUUGCUGGACUUGUAGUGACGCUGAGACGCGAAAGCGUGGGGAGCAAACAGGAUUAGAUACCCUAGUAGUCCCUGAGCGGGCUGGCAAGGCGCAU
Molecule: ribosomal RNA, 447 nt
Filed under: uncultured bacterium
Lineage: Bacteria
Description: bacterial SSU rRNA
Rfam family: Bacterial small subunit ribosomal RNA
Source: RNAcentral